GGUCCUGGUGCCAGAAAGUGCCAGCCAUUCAGAGAUUGUCUCACUGAUGGAGGGGGAGUUUACUAAGCUGAGCCCUCUCAUGGGGAGGUGGAUGUUUUUUAAAGCCACAGGUGGCAGUGGCCAGAGGAAAUUGAGCAUCAUUCC
Molecule: long non-coding RNA, 144 nt
Organism: Alosa alosa (allis shad)
Lineage: Eukaryota; Metazoa; Chordata; Actinopteri; Clupeiformes; Clupeidae
Exons: 3
Source: RefSeq, a predicted model, not a curated record